Non-coding RNA from Paramuricea clavata, 350 nucleotides. The record is from the annotation of a GenBank genome assembly. Lineage: Eukaryota; Metazoa; Cnidaria; Anthozoa; Malacalcyonacea; Plexauridae.
CAUCCUCCAAAAGAACAUCGCAACUGAAAUCGCAGCAAAAAUUGCCCGUGUAAAUGGGCCUUAAGUUAACAUAAUUUCUAUAUUCUUUUUUAUCAGAUUUUAUAGUUCACGAAAUUGACUCAUCCAUCAACUUCACAUGCCCUCAUGAUUCGACCAAGAACUACGAAGAAGCUGAUAACACCUGAGUUGAUAACACCUGGUGCAAGGAUUAAAGUAUUUGGACCUAUCUUGAUGAUUUUAGACCUAGAUUGGCAGGAUUCUGGACAGACAUUAUUUUUGUUCUAUUUAUGACUCAAAUGGCAAGCAGAUAGGAAAUCGGAAAUCUCUUGCUAUACUCAGUAUUAAACCAG